CCGCCGGCGGCCGGCGCACGGGUGAGUAACACGUAUGCAACCUGGCCGUGACAGAUGGAUAACCGGGAGAAAUCCCGCCUAAUACAACAUAAUGCCGGGAGGGGACAUCCCCUGCCGGCCAAAGGGGGCGACCCCGGUCACGGAUGGGCAUGCGGCGCAUUAGGUAGUUGGUGGGGCAACGGCCCACCAAGCCGACGAUGCGUAGGGGUUCUGAGAGGAAGGUCCCCCACAUUGGAACUGAGACACGGUCCAAACUCCUACGGAAGGCAGCAG
This 273-nucleotide ribosomal RNA is filed under the name uncultured bacterium. RNAcentral's name for it is "partial 16S ribosomal RNA". It matches the Rfam family "Bacterial small subunit ribosomal RNA", at positions 85 to 354 of the family's 1533-position model. The record is from RNAcentral.